This 300-nucleotide ribosomal RNA is filed under the name uncultured Veillonellaceae bacterium. RNAcentral's name for it is "bacterial SSU rRNA". It matches the Rfam family "Bacterial small subunit ribosomal RNA", at positions 28 to 339 of the family's 1533-position model. The record is from RNAcentral. Lineage: Bacteria; Bacillati; Bacillota; Negativicutes; Veillonellales; Veillonellaceae.
GACGAACGCUGGCGGCGUGCUUAACACAUGCAAGUCGAACGGAACCUUCGGGUUUAGUGGCGAACGGGUGAGUAAAGCGCAGGUAAUCUGCCGCAAAGACGGGGACAACGUUCCGAAAGGGACGCUAAUACCGGAUGUUGUGGUGAUGUCGCAUGAUGUUGCCAUUAAAGAUUUAUCGCUUUGCGAGGAGCCUGCGUCCGAUUAGGCAGUUGGUGGUGUAAUGGACCACCAAACCGACGAUCGGUAGCCGGUCUGAGAGGAUGAACGGCCACAAUGGAACUGAGACACGGUCCAUACUCC